Molecule: long non-coding RNA, 4391 nt
Filed under: Triticum aestivum (bread wheat)
Lineage: Eukaryota; Viridiplantae; Streptophyta; Magnoliopsida; Poales; Poaceae
Description: long non-coding RNA (TAES_LNC008402)
Source: RNAcentral
UGUUGGAAAUAACCACGCUGUCUAAGUCCGGGUCGGACUAGAGUCAAUCACGUGUACAUGUAGGAGUCCUAGUCCUAGUUAGCUUUAGGCUGUUUGGUUUAGCUCCUAUAUAUACUUGUACCCCUGUAAGGUUUUUUAACUGAGAAAAAAGCAAUACAAAGCAUAGGUGCGACACGCACCUAUUAGCCAUCAAAUAUCUUGUGUUUCGCCGAGUUGUGCUAGUCUAGAUCAAUUAAGUAUCCAGCCGUUGCUACGUACUAAGCUAGCUAGCUUCAACAUCCAUCAGCUAGUUUUGUACGUGCACGUUGCCUCAGGAAGAAUCAAUCAAGCGUGGUUUCGUACGUACGUGUUCGGUCGACGGAAAGUACUCGUCAAGGAGCCGUCGUGCAACGUUUGAUCGGGCCUGUGCCAACAAUUGGUACCAGAGCUUUGGUAUUGACGUGAUUCUCGGAAAGCAAUCGAAGGAUCAUGUCGACCACGGGCAAGGAGAUUGUGACGGCGGCAGCGGGAGCACCGAUGCCGAUGGUGGGGGGAUCACAAUUCCCCCGUCUGGAUCGAGAGGACUACGCACUAUGGGCGAUGAACAUGGAGGUCGCGAUGGAGGGAGCUGAGUUCUGGGAAGCCGUCGACCCGGGCGGCGCCGAGUACGCAAAGGGCGCGGCGAAGUACCGGAAGGAUCGUCAGGCGUUAACAGCUAUCUACUCCGCCAUGCCAAAGGAUGUGCUGCAACACCUUGUCGGAAAGAACUCGGCGAAGGAGGCAUGGGAGACCAUCAAGAUCCUACACCAGGGUCAUGACCGUGUCAAGGAAGCACACCUUCAGUCCCUGAUGAGAAGCUACGAGUGCCUGAAGAUGGAUGAAAGUGAGACGGUUGAUCAGUUUGCCGCCCGUCUCAAGACCCUCGUCAAUGGCAUACGCAUCUAUGGUUCAACCCUAGAAGAAGUUGCGAUCGUCCGACGAUUUUUGCGCGCCGCGCCGGCACGCUACAUUCAGAUUGUCACGUCGAUCGAGCAAUGUCUCGACCUGAAGACUCUCACGGUUGAGGAUCUCGUCGGAAGGUUCAAGGCCCACGACGAGAGAAUUCGUCUCAGUUUCGGCGAAACGGAGGCGAGUGAGCACCUCAUGCUUACAAAGGCGCAAUGGAUCGCCCUGUCGAAAGAAAAGCAAGGCGGAUCUACGAGCAGCGGCAAGAAGAAGGGGAAGGGGAAGCAGCGCUCGGCGAGAAAGAACUUCGCCAACUCGGACGACGAGGAUGCGCCUGCACCACCGAGGAGGAAGUUUGACAUCAGAAAAGUGAGGUGUCAUAAGUGUGGCCUCCUCGGUCACUUCAAGGCUAACUGCGAGGAAGCACCGAAGCAACGGGCGCUUAUGGCCGAGGAAGGAGACGAUGGGGAUAUGAUGCUAAUGUGCGAGCUAGUGGACGAAGAGGAUCCAGAUGAUCUUGGUCAGCUGGACACGGGUCCGGUGAGUGCAUCUGCGUCAGUAAACCCAGGCGAAGUUAUGGCGCCAGAAGACCAUGACCCAAGGCGUGACAGUGUGAUUACGCUAGUAAACCCGGGCGAAGUCGUGGCACCAGAAGACCAUGACGGAAGGCGUGACGGUGUGGUCACGUUAGAAGCAGGCGAAGAAGUGGCGACAAAAGUCCAUGACACAAUGCGUGAUGGUAUGGUCGCGCUAGAAAACGGCGAAGACGUGUCGCCAGAAGAACAUGACGCGGGGCGUGAUGAAGCGAUCAUCCCAGAAGAACGCAACAUGCGGCGAGCUACACUCGGACCAGAUGAAUUUGGCGCAUACGUGAUUUUGGAUAGUGCAACGACGAGUUGCGCGGAUGGGUCUAGUGGCGUUGUGAAGGUGGCAACGAGCGGCGUCGCGUCACACGCCAGUUCACCAGCUCCAUCGGCUGCGUUGCAGGUGCCGGGCGAGAGUGCUUCGCUCGAUGACUCAGUGAGCACGUGUGCGAGCCAGGUUGCUGGCACUGCAGGCGGCAGCCCAGCGGCAACUGAAAGCAGCAGUAGCAACAACACGUACGUGGCUGGUGCUGCCUUGCCGGAUAGCGCGUGCAGCCCAACAAACAGGCUGGAUGAGACUGGCCACUAUAUGCCUCAUGCACACAGGCCAGGGAACCAACCACCACGUGGUGGUGAUGGUCUACGAGACAAAGCAGGGAAGCAAAGCCCAGAAAAUUUGCAAGGCGCAGAAAAUUGUGCAGAAGGCAGUUCACCACCAUGUGGAGGACCGAACGAUGCCAAAAAAGGUGACAGGCAGCAGCGAUGGAGUCCAGUAAACAGCAGGCUUGGAAGCCAGGUAAAAGAAGCAAAAUCGCCAGCAACGGUAACAUUGGCAAGUUUAGAUUCUUCAAUAGCACACGAACGACGCGUGUUGGAUCUCUCUCCAGAAGCAGGGCUUCAGAUAAAUUUGGUGAAGAUGAAAAGUAAAGGGCAACGAAGUUUGCACAUCGAGGAACCGGAAAUUUUUGAAGAUGCAAAUAUGGAGAAGUGUUGGCGUCGUGCUAUGAAUGAAGAGUUGUGGUCGAUCCGAGACAACAAUACAUGGGAGCUCGCGGAUCUUCCCAACGGUCAGAAUGCCAUAGAGCUCAAGUGGGUGUACAAAGUCAAGAAAGAUGCCGAAAAAAACUUGAUGAAGCAUAAAGCAAGGCUUGUAGCUAAAGCAUGCGUGCAAGAGCAAGAUGUGGACUUCGAAGAAGUGUUCGCUCCAGUUGCAAGGAUGGACUCGGUGAGACUACUUAUAGCUCUCGCGGCUCAAGAAUCUUGGAGGAUACAUCACUUGGAUGUGAACUCCGCGUUUUUGACCGGGGAGUUAGAAGAAGAAUUGUAUGUGAAGCAACCACCAGGGUACAUCCAAGAAGGAGAGGAACACAAGGUAUUGAAGCUACACAAGGCGUUGUACGGGCUACGACAAGCUCCUCAGGCAUGGAAUGUUGAGCUUGACCGUACAUUUAUUUCUCUUGGAUUUGAGAAAGCCCCACUAGAGCAUGCUAUGUACAAGCAAGGUGAUGGCAAUGAUCGUCUACUAGUGGGCAUCUAUGUGGAUGAUUUGCUGAUAACUGGAGCAGACGAAGAGGUGAUUGCAAACUUCAAACUACAAAUGAAGAAGCUAUUCAAGAUGACUGAUCUAGGGCUCUUGAGUUACUACCUCGGGAUCGAGGUACAGCAAAAGCCGGAGGGGAUCAUAAUAUGACAGGAGGCAUAUGCAAAGAAGGUACUUGAAAGCUGUGGCAUGAAAGAUUGCAAUCCAAGUCAUGUUCCGAUGAAGCCUCGUCUCAGACUAAGCAAGAAGAGUGAAGCACCCGCGGUUGAUGCAACGGAGUAUAGAAGUGUGGUCCGAAAGUUGAGGUAUCUCACGAAUACAAGACCGGACUUGGCCUAUUCCGUUGGCAUAGUGAGUCGCUUCAUGGAAGCACCCACGACGGAGCAUUGGGCAGCGGUGGAAAAUAUACUCAGGUACAUCAAAGGGACAACAAAUUUCGGUUGUGUCUACUUGAGAAAGAAGAAGAAGGAGAUGGUGGAGCUACUUGGCUACAGUGAUAGCGACAUGGCAGGAGAUGUGGACGACCGUAAAAGUACCUCGGGCGUGGCAUAUUUUUUGGGAGGAAGCAUAGUGAGUUGGCUGUCACAAAAGCAGAAGGUGGUCGCAUUAUCAUCUCGUGAAGCAGAGUAUAUUGCAGCUGCAACCGCGGUGUGUCAAGGUGUGUGCCUUGGAAGGCUACUCGGUGACCUCACAGGUAAGGAACCGGAAGGAGUGGUGUUCAAUAUUGAUGACGUGUCUACAAUCUCUCUAUGAAAGAAUCCAGUGCAUCAUGGUAGAUGCAAGGACAUCGAUAUGAGAUAUCACUACCUAAGGGAGUGUGUGGAAGAAAGCAAGAUCGACAUCAACUACGUUUGCACCGAUGACCAGCUUGCAGAUAUCCUAACCAGAUCUUUGGGACGACAGAAGUUCGUGAAGAUGCGGCGAAGGAUCGGCGUCCAAGCUGUGAAGUGAGGACAUCGUGUUUAGGGGGGUGAUUGUUGGAAAUAACCACGCUGUCUAAGUCCGGGUCGGACUAGAGUCAAUCACGUGUACAUGUAGGAGUCCUAGUCCUAGUUAGCUUUAGGCUGUUUGGUUUAGCUCCUAUAUAUACUUGUACCCCUGUAAGGUUUUUUAACUGAGAAAAAAGCAAUACAAAGCAUAGGUGUGACACGCACCUAUUAGCCAUCAAAUAUCUUGUGUUUCGCCGAGUUGUGCUAGUCUAGAUCAAUUAAGUAUCCAGCCGUUGCUACGUACUAAGCUAGCUAGCUUCAACAUCCAUCAGCUAGUUUUGUACGUGCACGUUGCCUCAGGAAGAAUCAAUCAAGCGUGGUUUCGUACGUACGUGUUCGGUCGACGGAAAGUAC